CGUCGUCGGGCCGCGCAGGCCCACGGUACGGCCCGUGCGGUGGGCCAGGGAGGAGCCGCCCGGCGGCGGCCCGGUCGCGGCCGUCGACGCGGGC
RNAcentral lists this transfer RNA (94 nucleotides) under Streptomyces hygroscopicus subsp. sporocinereus. RNAcentral's name for it is "tRNA-Arg". Lineage: Bacteria; Bacillati; Actinomycetota; Actinomycetes; Kitasatosporales; Streptomycetaceae. The record is from RNAcentral.